CUGGUUGAUCCUGGCCAGUAGUAUGCUUCUCCUAAAGACUAAGCCAUGCAUGCCUUCGAAUAAGAGGAAGCAAUUCUCUCUGAAUCUGCGAACGGCUCCGCAAACCAGUUGUAAACUAUAGCAAGCAAUCCUGUGGUUGGGCUUCGGCUCGGCCAUGGGUAACAUGGAUAACCCUGGUAAUUCUGAGGCUAAUACAAGAACGUACAACCUGGCUAACCGGCAACGGAAGGCUGGGGAACGUGCAACGUAUCGUAAUGGAUACCGGGAAAGGGUGCACGUUUGGACCGCGCUAAAAACAGUCCUUGGUAAGCCCUCACGGGCGAGCCUUGGCCUGAGCGGCUCUUGCGGUGUGCUUCUGACCUAUCAACUAGACGGCAGCGUAAGGGACAUGCUAUGGUUACAACGGGUACAGAGGAUAAGGGUUCGAUCCUGGAGAGUGGGCCUGAGAGAUUGCUCAUACUUCUAAGGAAGGCAGCAGGCGCGCAACGUUCCCCUUGGGCAAUGCUCGAGGGCGUUAGGGGACAUAUGAAUGCCUGCCAUAUUGGUGGGCAAUUCAAAUGGGUUUGUUCUAAACAGCCUUUCGAGUAACAAUUAGAGGACAAGUCUGGUUGACUGAAAGCCAGGUGUCGACCCCGGAUCCGCCCCCCCCCUGAUCAGGGGGGGGUGAGGAAAGGGAAGGCAGAAAGCUGGGAUAAGCUCCAGUUGUACAGCCGUAAGUUGCGGGGAACGCCAGUUAUGGGGGGGAUACCACAGCCCGGGGAAACUAACCCGGGUGCCCAGCAAUGGGAGGUAACAAAGCCCCUUCAGGGACCGUCCGAGUCAGCCUUGCUUUUCUCCCUUUCGGGGGGGGAGGGUGGGGCACCACGCUGGUCAAUCCGCAGCCAAGCUGCUAUACCCGGGUUCUCCGGGAGUGCGGAAGGUUCAGAGACUAUAAUCGGUUGGGCGCAAGCCUAAGGGAUAGUCCACUCCCCACGGUAACGUGGCCAGCAGAAGUAUCGGGGAGUAGCUCCCCCGAGAGGCAUGCUGGGUCCUAUAAGCACGGGCUUAAAUCCCCGUGGUAUGUAUAAGAGGAUGGUGAAGAGGGCCAGCACCCGCGAAGCUAACGUUCCGCGGAGAAAGCCAUUAAUCGGGUAUCGAAGGUGUAUACUAAUACAAGAACGAGGAAACGGUUGGCGCUAGUUGCCGGCUGAGUAGGCAUCUGGGGGGCACAGGACCGAGACGAAAGGGCAAAAGUAGGUAUGGGCUAACGCCCCCACCGAACCGGCUUCAGUAGGCUUGGGUCAGGGCAACAAGCCGGUAAAAUGGCUUUGCGCUUUGGUGCAUCGAGGCUCGCGUGUGGGGUUGCUCCCACCCGCUUGCCGACGUGAUCUUGAGCCCCACACUGGAAGGGAGGCGUGCAGCUAAGUAGGGAGGGGGGCACCCCACUCGAACGGCACGCACCAACCUCUUUGAAGGUGGCUCUGGGUGCCUAGUUGGCUAGGUAGCAACACUAUCAAAUUGCGGGAAACGCCUAAAGCCCUUGCUACCACCCGGUUGCCGAAAGGCGGCUUUGGGAACCUUGUCGUAAUGGACCAAGGCACGGUAAUAACGCAACGGGAUGCUACAAUGGCCAAUCUGCAGCUAACCCCGGCAAACCAGGGGAGCUAGUAAGGACAUGGGGGACCAUGCCUGAAUCCUCCGUUGGUAGGGACAAGUACAGAGACUAAACGGUAGUGGGUGGGGUAAGCUGUAAAUGCAACUCUGGGGCCCGAGAGGGCGUCAGGGGGCUGAGCGUGCCCUGCUUAAGAUGUAGUCCGGCCUCACCCGAAAGGGUGGUGGGAACCAUACGGUAAUUCCAGCUCUAAUAGCAUACGUUAAAGUUGUUGCGGUUAAAACGCUCGUAGUCGGCUUAAGAUCAUCAGAUGCCUGAUCCGGGAGCCUGGGACCGCUGCUCUUCGGAGCGCGCCAGGUAACUAGAGAGGGUGGGCGGUGGUCAAGUGUGCCUUGGGCUGCCUCUCCGGAGUCGCAGGGCUUGGUCAGCUUCCUUCACGGGGGGUUGGCUUUGUCCGGCCUGGGGUACCAUUUACUAUGAUUAAACUGGAGUGAUCAAAGCAGGUCGAUCGACCUUGCACAGCACAGCAUAGCAUAAGCAAAACUGGCUUGGCCCUAUUACGGGGGCUGGGUUGGUAGAAGCGAAAGGGGUGUUCGAGGGUGACCGAAUUGCUGGGCGAGUGGUGAAAUACGUUGACCCUAGCAAGUCGACCAAAGGCGAAAGCGGUCAUCAAGGGCACACCCGUUGAUCAAGAGCGAAAGUUAAGGGUUCGAAGACGAUUGACACGUAUGGUCGUCUAAAGCGGGAAAUGCCCCUAUGGGGAGGAAGGUGGGGGUCGCUCCCUUGCUAUCCCGACCUGGGGGUAAUGAAAGCUAGUUUCCGGGCCUUCGCGGGCUCGGGGGCAACACCAUCAAAUUGCGGGGACUCCCUUAGAGCCUUCAACUACCGUGCCCCUUUCAUAGGGGUAAACCCUGGAUAAUGCCCAGUGGUAGGUCAUAACGUUGAGGGAUUGGGUUACCUGCAGCUAAGCUCUGAAGCCACCUUGUUCAAUACGGCAAAUCCCCGCUUGCGGGGGUGCGUCCCGGACUCGGGGGUGGGGAGUGACGUUCACAGACUAAACGGUGGUGGGUGGGGGUCUCCAAAGGGAAGCCACGGCUAUCUCGGAGGGGGUCUCUGCUUAAGACAUAGUCGCACCCCUCCCGAAAGGGAGGUUGGAAACCAAGGCAGAUACCGUCGUAGUCUUAACUAUAAAUGAUACUGACCAGGGAUAGGAUACUGUCCAUCUCGACUCUUCCCGAACCUUAGAGAAAUCAGAGUCUUUGAGUUCUGGGGGGAGUAUGGUCGCAAGGCUGAAACUGUAAGGGGAAAAGCUGGGUUUCUAGAGUGGGUUGCCCCUUGUCAAAGGGGGGUAAGCUGCUAGUCCAAUGGUUCGAACUCCAGGCUCUGCAGGCCAUAGAGGGAGAGCCAUACCGGGAGCACCCGGUUGUAAAGGGCUACACUGUCAAAUGGCUGGGACAUCCUAAAGCCUUCUCUACCAACCAUGCGCCUAACAAGCGGAAAAAACAGGCGCAUCGACCCCCUAACGGGGAUAGCGGCCUGCAUGGGGCCAGGGGUAACGACCCUGGGUACGGUGAAAACGAGGAGGAUAUGAGCGGGAGGAAUGGCUUUCAGGCCGUCACCCCCCCGUUCGACAUGGGUUACCAGCAGCCAAGCUCGUCACCCACCCCGUACUCUAUGGGGUGGCCGAGUGCAGCUCACAGGCCAAACGUCAGUGGGCCCCACACCAAGCGGGAAGCGGCGAAAGCGGCUAUCCGUGGGGGCUUAUAAUAUGGUCGGCACUCCCGGGGAAACCCAGGGGAUCAAGCGUAAAGGAAUUGACGGAAGGGCACACAAAGAGUGGAACCUGCGGCUUUGAUAGAUUAGGCCCAUAAAGUGAACCCAGUUUGCUAGUGGGUGGGGAGAGGCUUGCCUUUCCCCGCUUGCAACACCCCCAAAUAGCUGGGACCCACUUACAGCCCCCCUUACCAAGCAGCAUUCCGAAAGGAGGCUGUGGCCCUGGAUAACAACCAGGGGUAUGGUGAUAAUAGGGAGGGAUUGGGCAACCAGCAGCCAAGUCCCUUAUUCAAAGCCAGACCUCCGGGUCUGGCUUUGCCGGGAUGCAGCUCACAGACUAAACGGUGGUGGGCGGCAGAUUGCCCUAUGUCCCUUGCCCUCAUGGGUGGGGGGUCUUGGUCAACUUGCUGCUUAAGAUAUAGUCGAUCCCCCUUGUAAAAGCAAGGGGUACCGAAUAAUUUGACUCAACACGGGAAAACUCACCAGGUCCGGAUACACGUAUGAAAGACAAGCUGAAAGACUUUUCUCAAUGAUGUAAGUGGUGGUGCAUGGUCGUAACUAGUUGCGAUGGAGAGUGCUUUCCUAACCGGGAAACGUGCUAGUGGCUAAGCUCCCCGGGAGUGGUGUUGCAACACUGUCAAAAUGCGGGGGAACCCCCUUUAACCCUCACGGUACCACCCCCGACCCGAAAGGGUCGGUAGGCGCAACCUCGGAGAAAGACCAAGGUCAUGGUAACAACCCGUGAGGCUGGGGCGAUCCGCAGCCAAAUCCUAAAGGGAAAAGUCAGCCUUGCGGCUGGCCGGCCCCCACGGAUGCAGUUCAACGACUAAAUGGCAGUGGGCGGUGGCAGCAAUGCCGCUGCUUAAGGUAUAGUCUUGCCCCAUCGAGAGAUGGGCCUACUCAAAGCAGUAGGAGGUGGUCGGGUGCCCUGCGCAAGCGGGGAUUUCCCGCUCACUGGCUCAAACAGUCUUAGUUCGUGGAGUGGUUUGUCUGGUCUAUUCCGAUAACGAGCGAGACCCCGACGUUCCUAAUAGGGGCGGCAGCCCGGCUUUCGCCCGCAAGGGUGUUCGCUAGCAGCCGCCUCACAAUAUGCUUCUUAGACGUAUCAGAAUCGAAAAGGUUCUUGAAAUGGGUUAAUAACAGGUUGAUCACAAAGACUGGCCUGCAAGAGUCGGCUCUGCUAUCCCCCGGGAAGGCAGGGUCUGGCUAGUGGGACUAACCCGCUUCCCCCUCGGGGGUCGCGGGGGGGUACUGCGACACUUUCAAAGUGCGGGAACACCCUGUUGAAAGCACAAUCUUAGCUUUGCUCCCCGAAAGGGGACCUGGCGGGUUGGGCCUGGGGCUAUCCGCAGCCAAACCCUAAACGAGACGCCGCAAGGCUCUCGCACGGGCGCAGUUCACAGACUAGACGGAAGUGGGGUUGUGCAUACGGCAUUCCUGAACCAAUAAAGGAGUGUCUCAGCAGCCUUAAGAGAUAGCCGAACCAUGGCUUUAAAAGGCCAUAGGAUUGCAGUCAUGCCCUUAGAUGUUCUGGGCCGCACGCGCGUUACAAUGGCAUGCUUUAGAAAGUGCUCAAAAGGGCGUAUCCGCGGCCUACAGGUCGCGGUAACCCCUAGUCCCUGCCUUGACUGGGACAGACUAUUGCAAUUAUUGGUCUCAAACGAGGAAUUUUUAGUAGUCGCAGGUCAUUAACCUGCGACGAAUGCGUCCCUGCCCUUGCAUAGGGGGCUUACAGGCAUGCCGUGAGGUAGAGCCUAGUCUGGGUCGGGGUCACCUGCCUUCUCUCGAGAAGCGGGAAAAACCGGCUUGGGCAACACCGACAAAUUGCGGGGACUCCCUUAGAGCUGGCCCUACCAAGCCUUGCCCCGAAAGGGGCGGGGUGGCCCUGGAGAAAGACCAGGGGUACGGUAACAAUGGGCCAGAUUGGGUUAUCUGCAGCUAACCCCUUACGCUUUUCCCUAUGGGACCCCCGGGUCCCAGGGGCUGAGUUACGGGCGUAGUUCACAGGCUAGAUGCCGGUGGGUGGGGUCGAGAUAGCGGGGAAACCCGCUUUCGAAGCCCUGCUUAAGAUAUAGUCGCCAAGAGGGCCUGAAAAGGCCCCCCUGAUUUCGGGUUGUACACACCGCCCGUCGCUGCUACCGAUUGGGUCCUGCGGUUACGAGUUCGGAGGCUGGUGGUGCUCCGCUUGCCUCACGGUAGGCGGGUGCCUCGGCUGAAGUUCUAAUUACCGCAGGCCUAGAGGAAGCAGAAGU
Molecule: ribosomal RNA, 5616 nt
Filed under: Polyschismium crustaceum
Lineage: Eukaryota; Evosea; Eumycetozoa; Physariida; Didymiaceae
Description: Lepidoderma crustaceum partial 18S ribosomal RNA
Rfam family: Eukaryotic small subunit ribosomal RNA
Source: RNAcentral